AUGUAACCUGGCCACACAUAUU
This 22-nucleotide microRNA is filed under the name Sarcophilus harrisii (Tasmanian devil). RNAcentral describes it as "Sha-Mir-7394-P1_3p* (star (passenger))". The record is from RNAcentral. Lineage: Eukaryota; Metazoa; Chordata; Mammalia; Dasyuromorphia; Dasyuridae.